Molecule: ribosomal RNA, 497 nt
Filed under: uncultured bacterium
Lineage: Bacteria
Description: partial 16S ribosomal RNA
Rfam family: Bacterial small subunit ribosomal RNA
Source: RNAcentral
GAUGAACGCUGGCGGCGUGCCUAAUACAUGCAAGUCGAGCGAACGGACGAGAAGCUUGCUUCUCUGAUGUUAGCGGCGGACGGGUGAGUAACACGUGGAUAACCUAUCUAUAAGACUGGGAUAACUUCGGGAAACAGGAGCUAAUACCGGAUGAUAUUUUGAACCGCAUGGUUCAAAAGUGAAAGACGGUCUUGCUGUCACAUAUAGAUGGAUCCGCGCUGCAUUAGCUAGUUGGUAAGGUAACGGCUUACCAAGGCAACGAUGCAUAGCCGACCUGAGAGGGUGAUCGGCCAAACUGGAACUGAGACACGGUCCAGACUCCUACGGGAGGCAGCAGUAGAGAAUCUUCCACAAUGGGCGAAAGCCUGACGGAGCAACGCCGCGUGAGUGAUGAAGGUCUUCGGAUCGUAAAACUCUGUUAUUAGGGAAGAACAUAUGUGUAAGUAACUGUGCACAUCUUGACGGUACCUAAUCAGAAAGCCACGGCUAACUACGUG